CUAUUGAGGAGAGAUACAGGAGAGAACUCAGGUACACGUAUGAAUUUCAGAUCUCCACUGACAGCGUAAUGGGAACAUAGACAACUAUACUUGCAGAAACCUGCAGGCUUCAGCUAAGAGAUUAGAAGUAAAGUCAGAAAUGAGACUCAGUUACAUCCACUUGGGAUGCAAAUGCUGGAUGAAGUAAUCGUAUUUUCUUGCUGGAACAGAAGGGAAUGAAAAUGGCAGAAUGAUCAUUCAAUAUGGUAACAAAGCUCAAAGCAGUUGGGAGUGAAAGUGACUG
RNAcentral lists this long non-coding RNA (283 nucleotides) under Numida meleagris (helmeted guineafowl). RNAcentral describes it as "lncRNA (ENSNMEG00000008873.1)". The record is from RNAcentral. Lineage: Eukaryota; Metazoa; Chordata; Aves; Galliformes; Numididae.